This 500-nucleotide ribosomal RNA is filed under the name uncultured bacterium. RNAcentral describes it as "partial 16S ribosomal RNA". It matches the Rfam family "Bacterial small subunit ribosomal RNA", at positions 30 to 523 of the family's 1533-position model. The record is from RNAcentral.
AUUGAACGCUGGCGGCAUGCCUUACACAUGCAAGUCGAACGGCAGCACGGGAGCAAUCCUGGUGGCGAGUGGCGAACGGGUGAGUAACAUAUCGGAACGUGCCCAGUCGUGGGGGAUAACGCAGCGAAAGCUGUGCUAAUACCGCAUACGAUCUAUGGAUGAAAGCGGGGGAUCGCAAGACCUCGCGCGAUUGGAGCGGCCGAUAUCAGAUUAGCUAGUUGGUGAGGUAAAGGCUCACCAAGGCGACGAUCUGUAGCUGGUCUGAGAGGACGACCAGCCACACUGGAACUGAGACACGGUCCGGACUCCUACGGGAGGCAGCAGUGGGGAAUUUUGGACAAUGGGCGCAAGCCUGAUCCAGCAAUGCCGCGUGCAGGAUGAAGGCCUUCGGGUUGUAAACUGCUUUUGUACGGAACGAAACGGUCUUUCCUAAUACGAGAGGCUAAUGACGGUACCGUAAGAAUAAGCACCGGCUAACUACGUGCCAGCAGCCGCCGUAA